This is an RNA transcript of Cercocebus atys (sooty mangabey), 14211 nucleotides long. It is a transcript of the gene named lipoma HMGIC fusion partner-like 1, with no coding region annotated. NCBI's taxonomy places the organism in Eukaryota, Metazoa, Chordata, Mammalia, Primates, Cercopithecidae. The record is from RefSeq and is a predicted model, not a curated record. The transcript has 5 exons.
CACUGCAAAGGGCAGCUAGUAUUCCCAUCCUUGUUUAACAAGCUGUGAGGAGAAGUUGUUUCUGAGAUCUGAGCCUGAAGAGAGGGAACAAGUCAGUCAGCCUUCGUGGUCAGAAGAUAUUGCCUCCUUCCAAGCUACCAGGCCAGGAAGUCCAUUCAGCUGGAAGCCGGGACAGCAGCCUUGUUUUCAUUUAGUCUCCUUUCCUGCCACUUGUUCCACGAUGUAUGUCAAGAGUUAAAAGCUGUCUGAUCCGGCUGUAUUUGAGUUGGCAGAGCAGACCCUGAUUCAGUUAUCUGGUUCCUCCAUUGCAGCCUAAAGACCAUAGAACUCUAAAUCAGGCAGAAGGAAGGGAAGGUGGGAAAAGUACUGAAAAGCAAAAUCCCACAGGGAUCCAAAUGGUCCUCGAGAGAAUAAUCUUAUCCAGAAGCAAUGAACAAGUGGCACAUAAUUGAGCCCCAGGACUGGCCAACCAGAUGAAAAACAGGCCAGUGGAGCCUACAUGGUAACUUACUGCAUUUGGUGCUGUGAUCCAACUCAUCUCCCCAUCCCUGCAGAGAAACCUGUGACCAUGAGGAGCAGCCUGACCAUGGUGGGAACCCUCUGGGCCUUCCUGUCCCUUGUUACUGCCGUGACCAGUUCUACCAGUUACUUCCUACCUUACUGGCUCUUUGGAUCCCAGCUGGGGAAGCCAGUGUCAUUCAGUACAUUCCGGAGGUGCAACUACCCUGUGCGGGGAGAGGGACACAGUCUGAUCAUGGUGGAAGAAUGUGGGCGCUAUGCCAGCUUCAAUGCCAUCCCAAGCCUGGCCUGGCAGAUGUGCACGGUGGUGACAGGUGCCGGCUGUGCUCUGCUACUCCUGGUGGCACUAGCUGCUGUCCUGGGUUGCUGCAUGGAGGAGCUCAUCUCCAGAAUGAUGGGACGUUGCAUGGGAGCAGCGCAAUUUGUUGGAGGGCUGCUGAUAAGCUCAGGCUGUGCCUUAUACCCUUUAGGAUGGAAUAGCCCGGAGAUAAUGCAAACAUGUGGGAAUGUCUCCAAUCAAUUUCAGUUAGGUACGUGUCGGCUUGGCUGGGCCUAUUACUGUGCUGGAGGUGGAGCAGCUGCAGCCAUGUUGAUCUGCACCUGGCUCUCUUGCUUUGCUGGAAGAAACCCCAAGCCUGUCAUAUUGGUGGAGAGCAUCAUGAGGAAUACCAAUUCUUAUGCUAUGGAGCUUGACCAUUGCCUCAAACCUUGAGCUUUGAAAGAAGAUUGGAGAGGGUGGGAAAUGGGAGGAGAGAGCCCUGAAAAGAGCCAGUAGGUCACUGGCUGUUUAUAAAAUUCAUCUAGAGGAAACAUUCUCAGACAUUUACCCAACUGGCAAGUACCUGCUAACCCGAAGACCCAAAGUACUCCUUUAUGCAAAAUAGGAUCCAAAGCUAAGGCUGGGUAAGAAUAGCUGUGCAGGGAGGGAGCAUGAGAUGGGCAGGGCUGGUUCCUACCACUCCAUUCACACAGUUCAUUCCCAAGUAUUUAUUGCUACCCCCAAACAUCUCUGGAGUACUACUGCUCAAUUUUUGUGUCAUUAUCAGGAGUAUACCUUGACUCUUCCUUUUUUUCCCCUGCUUUUCUUUUUCCCCGCUUUUCUUUCUCCCCCUGGUUGUGGGGAAGCUUCGGGAGAGGGGGGAGGGUGACUCACAGUGGGGAAAACGUUAGUCAAGGAUACUUGCAUUUAGCCUGGAGCCCCUUCCUCAUUAUGCUUUAGAAUAUUCAUAGGCAUUCAUUUUGUGUUCUGACUGGGUGAUGAGCAAAAAAAUAUAUAGUAGCAAAUAUUCCCUAAUCCUUUAGAGAUACAGAAAUGGUGUUCAUCAAAUGUACUGAGAAUAGACUAGCAUUUGUGGGGCACUCAAUCAAUUUAAAUUCAUGGUGACAGUGACAAGGAUGUUUCUGUUAGAUACUUAUUGAAAUUUCUAUCAGAGAUCAUUUUUAUUGACUAGGAAAUCCACGGUGGCCUUUUACCCCCUAUAGUCACUCCUAAUGUGACAUAAGUUCAUCUGACUGUUUCAAAGACUGUUCGUCAAAUGAUCUCUCCUCCAUCUGGGGCGAGUUAGCCACAAAAGAACACAGCACUGAUGUCACCUAGGGCUGAUGUAUUUUUAGGCCUGGACUCCAUCCCAUCUGUGCUCAAGGUUGAUGGAUGGUGUAGAAGAACUUGGUGUCUCCUGGGGGCAGAGUUUGUCUCACUCCUCCCCCCUCCGACCCCAGUUAAUUCAGGCCAGCUCUAUUGUUCCAUAACUACAGCUUUAGGGAAUGGGGAGGGCCCGUGAUUCAAAAGGCCAGCUCAUCUGUUUCUAUUCUUAAUAAUUCCAGCAUGUUUUUGGUACAGCCCUACCUAGAGGGAUAGAAAUAGAAAAAAACUGGCUUCAUAAGUUACAUUCCAUCUCAUGAGAGGUCAGAAUUCUUCCAUUGGCUUUACAUAGGUAAGUGAAUUUAAAUGCUUCCCCCAUCUAUAGUUGAUUCAUUACUGAGUCACUCAUUCAGAAAACAUUUCUUGAGUAUCUUACUGUGUGACACAUUCUGUGCUAAGUUCUGGGGAUAAAAGGACAAAGACAGUUUCUCACCUUAAAAGGGAUAGUGGUGAGGUAUUGAGAGACAUGUCGACAAGUACUUGUCAGUGUAUUAAGUGCUAGAAAAGUGAAGAAGAAUAGCUAAAUGAUCACAGAGAAGUCAUUAAACCAACCUGGCAUGAAGGGGUUCAUGGGAAAGCAUCCUAGCAAAGAAGAUACCUAAGAUGGGUCCGAAAGAUGAAUAGCAGGAGCUUUGUCAGCAAAGGCAAAGAGUGCACAAGACAAGCAAUGAUGGCAGCCAAGUCGUGGAGACAGCAUUAGAAUGACAGAUGGGUGUAAAAAGAGGUGGCAAAAGCUGAAGUUGAAAAGGGAAGCAGUAGCCAGAUUCCAUGGGACCUUUUACUCCAUAAUAAGGCAUUUGAAUUUUAUCCUGAAGAAGGGUCAUUGAAAGGGAAGUGACAUGAACAAACUUGUAGCUUUCAAAGAUAAGUUUGGCUAAAGUGAGGAGAAUGAAAGAAAAGAAGAGGAGAACUAGAGAUAUUUCAAUAAUCUAAGUAUAAAACGAUCAAGGCCUGGAGGAAGGUAGUGACUGUGAGGCCGGAGAAGACAGAUGAAUUUGAAAGAAGAUAUUUAGGAAGUACAUUGUCUAAUGGAUAUGUGUAGGAAUUGGCAAGCGAAAAUUUUGGGAUGACCACUCUGGUAUGUGAGCGACUCCUAUCAUCAAGAUGGCAAAUGCAAGAUGAAUAACAGGUGGUAGGGAACCGGUGAUUGAAUUCAUUUCACGUAUUAUCUCCCUCAUGGAACUGCAUUAAGUGUUUAAGGUAAGGCCAACUUGAACAUACCUCACUGGGAAGGAAGCAAUGUAAUGUGUUUGCAGCACCUCCUUUCUUUAAGAAAGAUGACUAAGAACAGCUAAAACAAAAAUGCAACUAGCUUAAACCUCAAUUUUAUUGUGUCGACACAAUAAUGCAACUUUAAUUUAGGAAGGCCCACGGUAUAGAGAAUAUGUCAAAUAUUUGAGAAAAGGCAGAUAUCUCACUUCAGAAAAGAUAGUUGGAUCAGGCGAUCUCUCUUCUCGGGCUAGGCAACCUUCUGGAUUUCUGUAGGAUAGACUUUGUCAAAGUGACUGUAUAAGUCAGAAUCCUGCCAAGAGAAAGACGGUAUACUCAAGGAGUUUAGCGGAGAUGAGCUCAGUGAAAGGACAAUUUAUGAUGGUGUGUGCAGGGUUAAGGGAACUUACCACUGAUGGUGAGGCAUAGAAAGAGUAUGAACAGUGAGGGGCUAUUAUUAAUACUACUCCUAACACUGAAAAGACAAAGGGGAAAAACAGUGUUAUUGGCAUCCAGUAAGUACUGCACAUGUACAAGAGGGGCUGCCUCACAGGAGCUGUUGCUUCAGGUAGCACAAUGUAGUCUCUGCCCAAAUGCAGUAAGGAGGGAGAGAGGGGAAUGAACACCCAUAUCUCACUCUCUUUCCACUCUUUGAUCUCCUGCCAGUGCCCAUCAUUAGCCAGAUCCAGCCAUACAGCAGCUGGAAAAGAAGCCUGUUACUAUAGUCAGUUGAGGUCAGACUCCUUUGGCACAGAGCAUGGCAGGGAAGGGUGGAGAAUGAAGCUUGGGGGUAUGAGGGGCCAGUGGAAAAUAACAUUUCAGUGAGUGCUCUUAGCCACCAGGCAAUGCCAUUGCCUUAUGCACUGCUUCCCAGGAAGUGUAUGCUUUGCUUUCCUCCAUGGCCCAGACACCUAAACACACUGUGAAGUAAUUGGACCCUGGAAAGGAGACUGAAGAGGAAGGGGGUCAUUUGAAAUAACACUUUAAAUAACUAUCACCUUGCAGGAGUUAGUUGCAGGUUGAAUUAAGUUGGACUGUUUUCUCCUGUUUUCCAAUGAAAGGAAACUGGAUUUAAAAGAGAUUAUUUUUUUUCUGUGAAGAAACCAGGCCUGCAGGGGCUUAUAUUCAAAGACGGAUCUAGCCCCAUGUUCAAUUCAAAUUUAAAUUCCUCCUUGCCUAUGUCUGGUUUCUUUCCUGCCAGGCCUUGUUUUUACAUAGAUGUCUGACAAGACUAGGUUCUUUUCCCCAUGGCCUAGAGAAAACUUUUAGAAGCAAAAUCUGUGUCUUGGGCUGCUAUUGUACAGAAAGGAAGGAGAACCCAUGUGUCAGGUGGAGGCUGAAUGAGUGAGGUAAGAACCUAAAAGACUCUGCGGUUUGUCCCAUGCCUGGCUGGCUGUCAUGUUCCUUGCCUGGGCAUGCAGGCUGAGUGCCUAACUAUGGGCCCAUUCUGACCCUGGAACCACUUAGCUCUUGGGGAGGGGGAGAGAGGUAGGAAGUGAUUCUUCUGGACUAACUCACAGUCCAUUUAGUAUUUCAUAAGAGCCCAUUUUGCAAGAUACUCCUUUCAGAAAAUAAUGUCAGAUGGGCAGGCAGCAACUACCUAGUUGGCAUGCUUUUGUGUCUAGAGGAUUGAAAUUUCUACACCUGGGCUAGCAAGUGUUAAGUCACUGGGGUGUGUCUUCAGUGGUGCUGUCUCUCUAAUGUCACACCUCAUUACCUCUGCUCUCAGAGGAGAAGCUGCUUUCAUUCACUUACAGCUGCUAGUGACUUCCAGGCAGUGGGUUCUGCCUUGCAGGAGUGUGUGACCUGAGCCAAGAUGGAAAUGUUCUGGUCUCUGGGAAAGGAGUUCUGGCUUAUGUAAGAGUAGAUGGCAAUAUGAAGUCCUGGCUGGAUGAGAGACAACCCUGUGAGGAUGAGGGAAUGAGGAAGCUUCUGGGAAGCAGAGGCUUUAUACAUUUGUCACAUAAAUUGUGCCAAGGAAAGGUCUAGCUCCUUCAAUAUGUGAUGGGGACACUUUCUUCAGAGUCUGGCAUUCGCUUUCUGUAGAAAUACUCAUAUUAAUUUGAAGUAGUUUCAAGAUUGUAUUUGGUCCCAAGGAAGCCUGGUGAUGGGAAAAAUGGAACUUUCAAGAAAACUAAUACUCGAUAUAUUUUGUAAAGGAUGGAAGGCAUCCUACUUGGUGGCUUGAGGGGAAAGGUGUGCUAUUUCUAGAACUCACAAUCAAUCUCUGGCCAUACCCAGUAAAGCUUUCUUAGUAGACAGCAGGCAGGGCCCCUCCAAAGAGUCAUAGCUACCUUCUGUUCUUGGUUAAAGAGCAUUUUCUGGGCUGGAGUGGGGCUGGAGUUGAAAGAUACUUAUUACUGGCCUCUCUCUCAGAUGUAGAGAAAUGCAUUUUAAGCUUCAUUUUUUUUCAUCUGCUUCUGAGAUUUGGCUCUCCCAGGGUUGAUCUCUUCUCUAAACUCGUCAAACCCCCACUGAGUCCUCAAAGCUAACAGCAAAUAAACAGUUGCUAUGUGUGCACACAAAUAAUUUAGAUUUUCAUUAUACAGAGCUGCUGAUACAUUAGGAGGCAGAAGUAGGGGGAGACAAAAUGCUAGGUUUUGAAUAUGGCAACGCCGUAUUCUCCUUCCUUCCCCUUCAGAAAUGAGGCCCAGAAAAUAGUACUUGGGAGUCAGGGGGUGGUGGGGUUGGGGGGCAUCAGGGCCAGCCAGCAUCCACAUUGGCAAGACCCUGAUGUUGGCUCCCUUUCAUGUAGUAUCUCUGCUACAUGAAAGAGACAUUAGAAGAGGUAGUAGAAACUAUAGAUGAGAAUCAAAGCUGGUAGAAAGUUCAAGAGAGAAAAAGGGUAAAUAAAGCGGUAAAUAUCAGAACCAUUCCAGAGAAAGUGUCUCCUCCCACUGUAGCUUACUAGAAUUUCAUUUGGGGCAAUUUGACUUUCUUUCCAAGAUAUCUCAGUAUCUUCUGCACUAAAACAUUGUCCUCCUAGGCAACACGGUAAAGUGAAGUCGGUCCAGGCUUUGGAGUCAGACAAAUCAAGGUUUGAAUUGCAGCUCAAACGUUUAUUAGCUGUGUGUCCUUGGGCAAGGCAGUUAACUGAGCUUACUAACAUUCUAAGAUAACACUGGCUAUUGGCUCCACAAUUCUCAGCAACUAUAGAAGGAGUUAAUCAUUCGGUGGCCCCAUUCAUUUUAAUUUGCAUUGAUUAUUCUAACGCAGUGAUUUUUAAUCCUGGUCGACAUUAGAAUCUGCUGGGAAGCUUUUACAAAAUUUGAUGCUUUUGUUCGUCCCAGUUCAACUGAGUCAGAAUCUGUAGAUGCCACUAUACCAUACCACCCUCUCUUUAUUUUUGCCAUCAUCUACUGACCUCCUAGUCAUCCCUCAUUCAUAAGGACUUUAGCACCUGGCUCAGUCUCUUCUCUAUUUUUAAUUCUUUCGUCCUUUUAGAAAUUUCAACAUCAUGUGAACCAAUCUUCCAAUUUACUGGCCUCUAAACACUUUGACUUCUUUACCUCCAAUAAUAUAUUUUUUCUGCCCAACCUUUUUAGCUCCCACUCUUGACAUCAACAAUAAACACACAAUCACUAAAGUCCUGAUGUCAAAUCUCCCAUUCCUGACCAACACUUCUUAUUCUUUCAUCUCAUGUUUUUUAACAUCCCCACUCUACCAACUAUUUGACCCCAUCCUAGUUACACAACUAGAGUCCCUAGUUUAUCAUUGUAAUCACCCCUUGCAUAAAUGUUCCACUCUUUUCCCCUCUUUAAUUCUGCCAUAUAUUUAUUAAAAAAAAAAAAACCCUAACCCUGGUUAAAUGUAAUAAUUUCCCUGCUCAAUGCUUACACCAAGUUCUCACCUAUUUAGAGAGAAAAACUAGCUACCCUUGCACCUUUUCCUUGUCUAUACUCACCCCCUUGGUGAGUUCAUUCAAUCCCACGGCUUUACAUGUUAUCUAUACCCUUGCUACACAAAGGGUGGGCUAUGGUCCAAAAGCAUCAGUAUCACAUUGGGAAUGUAUUAGAAAUUUAAAAUCUUGGCUCCACUCCAGACCUACUGAAUCAGAAUCUGCAUUUUUAACAAGAUCCCUAAGUGAUUCAUUUGCAUUAAAGUUUGAGAGGCACUGGUCUAUACCAAUAGUUAUCAUCUUUGAUUGCAAACCAGAAUCAGCUAUGAUUUGCUAGUGCCAAUAUCUACUUUCAGAAGCUCUAAUUUAAUUGGUCUAGGGUAGGGUUUGGAUAUAUAUAAAUUUUGUAAGCCAUCAUGUGAUUUCAAUGUUCAGGCUAGAUUGACAACCACUGACUUAAGUACUGAUGACUCCCAAGUUAAUAUCUCUAGGCCAAACGUCUCUGAACUUCAGGCUCAAAUGUUCAACUACUUAUUCCAUGUCUCUACUUGGAUAUCUAGUAGACUUGACAGAGUGUACAUAUCCAUAACCAAGAUCCAAAUCUUCCAAUCCUAAACCCAUUCCUUGUAAUCAUCCCCAUCUUACUAACUAAAGAGCACUAUACUUACUGGGUUUUCCCUUCUACCUCCUUGGGUGGUCCUUCUCAUCCUUUUUUUUUGGAUCAUCUGCCUAUGUUCAACCUCCCAGUGUUGAAAUGAUCCAGGGUACAUAGCUCCUCUCGAUAUCUAGAAUCUCCCCAGGUGAUCUCAUUUACAUGCUGAUGAUGCUCUGAUUUAAACAUAGUCAUGUUGCUCACAUUUAACCUGUGCAACAGGAAAUUAUUAGUUUUCUCCUCCAACCCCACCAGCACUUCUGCCAAAACCUCGGAAUAAUCUCUGAUGUUUUUCCUUCCCUGGGCUGCUACCUCCAAUCCAUGUGCAAAUCUUAACAAGUCUACUUCCAAAAUAUAUUUGUUAUCUACACACUUCUCUUAUCUCUACUAUUACAACCCUAAGACAUUAAUGACAAAAAAGUUUCAGCAAACUGAGACUAAAAAGGAAUAUUCUACUAUGGUAACAGGUAUCUAAUAAGCCUCUAGCAAACAUUGUACUAAAAAAAACAUUUAAGAGCAUUCUAGUUUAAAACGGAAAAAAAGGACAAAGAUAUUUCAGCUCACAAUUGCAACCAAAAAUAUAGGGUACCUAAGACUAAAUCUUACAAAAGAUGGAGAAAAAUUAUAAAGCAACAUGGGAAAACACAAAAAGGAUUCAUAAAUAGGUUUCAUGAAUGGAAAGACUUGAGAUGUUUUUUAAAGCAUGUCAGGUUUUUUUCAAAAUGAAUCUAUAAAUUCAAUGCCAUUCCAAUAAAUAUUCUGUCUUUUUUUAGUGUAAGUUUACAUGCUCAUCUUCACAUUUGUGUUCAGAUAUAAAGACUUAAAGUUAUAAUCAUUAACAAGUGUGGUAGUGACACAGAGAUGAACAAAUGGAUAAAUGGAACAGAAUAGAGGAUCAAGAAACAGACUCAUGAUUAUAAGGAAACUAGAUAGAUAUGAUAGAAAUAGCAUUAUUAACCAAUGAGGGAAGGAUAGACAAAUCCAACAAACGAUAACAUUUGGGAAAUGAAAUUAUAUCCCUAAAACACUCCAUUUAUAAGAAUCUUAAUUCCAGAUGGAUUAAUGACCUAAAUGUGAAACAAUUCAAACUUUGAAAAGAUAACUUAGAAAAAUAUUGUUUUGACUUUAAUAUAGAAAGAAACUUCUAAAAAAGACACAAAAGGCACAGCCCAUAAAUCGAAAGAAUGAUGCACUUGACUACAUUAAAAUUUCAAAAUGUCUGUUUAAUGAAAAGGUCAGCUUGACUUUUCUGGUCCCCUUCUGUUGGGAGUGGGCCAUGUGACUAGUUCUAGCUAGUGGGUUGUGAGCAGCAGUGAUAUGUGCCACUUCCAGGCUGAAUUAUUAGUAUUUGCCAGUGUGAGCCCUUCCAGAGAUCUCCUUUCCCUCUCCCAUGGUGACACAAAAUACUCUUGUUGAAAACAGCCUGGAUCCUGGAGUGAGGAAACAGUCCCAGCCAACUAAUAGUGCACCUGUGAUCAAAAAAGAUACAUUUGCUACUUAAAAAAAGCCUCAUUAAUGAACAGUAUCAUAAGCAAAAUGAAAGGGUAAGCCUCAGACUGGGAGAAAAAUAUUUGUAAAGGUAUAGCUAAUGAAGGAUUAAUAUGAAAACAAUGUAAAGAGCCACAAAUCAAUAAGGAAAACCUAAAUAACUCAAUAAAAAUAAAACACAGGCAGAGGGUAUGAUUGAGUAAUGAACUUAGAAGGAAACUUGAUAGGAUGCUUAACUACCUAAACUCAGGGAAAUACAAAUUAAAGUAACAAGAAGAUACAAUUUGCAUCUGUAAGUUUGGUAAAAAUGUAAAAGUCCAUUUAUAGCAAGUUUUGGAAAGAAAUAAGAACUGUCAUCAUUGCUGGCUCAAAUAUAAAUUGGCAUAGACACUUUGGAGAAGAAUUUGUCAAUAUCUUGUAAAGAUGAAGAUGUAGGUGUAAAUGUAGUUUCUCCUUUAUGAAUUUGCUGUGGAGAAACUCUAGUACAACAGCAGACAAAGACAUAUACAAUGAUGACUGUCAAUGUCAUUGAUAUCUGGAAUAGAAAAUGUCAAAUAUUUACCAGUGGGAGAAUAGAAAAAAUAAAUUUGAUAUAUUUACUUAAUUAAAAUGAAUAACUUGGAGUCACAUGUAUGAAUGCAUCUCAAAAUCAUAAUGUUGACUGAGUAAAGCAAGUUGCAGAAUGGCUUCAGAGCAUACCUUUUCCAAAAGUUUGAAAACAUGUAAAACAAUACUACAUAUUUGUUAUGGAGUAUAUUUUUGUUCAUCAAGUAUUCAUGCCUCCUCACACUACAUCUUUUGCAUCUUUUGGAAGAGUAUAUUUUCCCAGUCUAUUGAUGCCUUGGCCAUGAGAUUCACUUUGUCCAGUAGAAUAUUUGGGUAGAACUGAUAAUGUAAGAAUUCUGAGCCAAGGCCUUAAGAAGCAUCAUAUUUUUGUUUUGUUUCUUUGGGAGUUUCUGACCUCCACAAUGAGAAGCACAUGUCACUUGAGACUAUCCCUUCAGUUUCAAACUCAGAAUGAAAAUACAUGAAUCAUUGCUGCCCCAGCUGACAUAGAGACCUGGGAACAAGAGAGCAAACGCUUGUUGUUGUAUGAUACUAGGUUUGAAAUACAUGAAAAACUGAACUAUGCAAUGUUCAUAUGCUGGAACAUAUGUAAUGUAUGUAUAUGUAAUACAAACAGGAAUAAUAAACAGUAAAUAAUAAAAUAAUAAACAGUAAAUUCAGGAGAGUGGUUAUUUUUGAGGAAGGAAACAAGGAAUCCUUAUCCUUGUUUAUUCUGUUUUAUUUUUCUUCAUAGCGCAUUUAUUUAUUGUUUCUCUCUCCUUCCCACUAAAAUGUAAAUUUUACAAAACCAAGCAACGAGCCUUAUUCGUUGACUGCUCUGGUGCAGGCAUCCUACUGGCACACAAUAGGCACUCAGUAAACAUUUGUUGAAAGAAUGAGACUGUUUACUCAUCUGUAGUAAGGACAACACUAAUGGUCAUGCAGGAUUAUACUGAGGGUUAAACAAGAUUAUACCUGGGAAUAUGCAUCAUAUUGAACCUGGCAUCUAAGCGCUCAAUUAUGUCCGUCUUUUUUCUUUUUCUUUUUCUAUUCUGGAUAUGUGGUUUCUCUGUUGAACUAUCUCAAUAAUGUACAGAGCACUUUGUAAUGUGUAAGGUGUAGACAAGAAACUGUUUCUUAACUGUGCAAUCUCUAACAAGUUAUUUAACCUCUGUGUUCCUGAUCUGUACACUGAGGAUAAUAAUACCCAUCUUAUAUGUUGGUUGAGAGUAUUAAAUAGUGUAAUGAUAUGAAGCACUUAACAUGGGGCCUGACAUAUAGUAAAUGCUCAAUAAACAUUAGUUAUUAUUACUGCUACAAAAUAGACAGUUGCCUAUGUGGUAUCAGUUCAGGAAUAUUUGGCAGGCUGCUUUACUAAAAUAAUAUCUUCCACACCAGCUUGUCAUUUCCAUAUCUACUUUUAUUACUAUGGAGUUAUUCUUUUGGUUUAUGCCUUGUUCAUUCCAGCUACUUCUUAUAAGCUUCACUGGGGAUAUGCUCCCAAUAGUUUCUUGUGCUUAAUAUUAUGUGAUAUCUUAUUUUCCUCUACCCCUGGACAGAUGGGCAACAUAAGGACCCCAGGCAAAGGUUUGGGAAGAGAAGUGAAGAAAUGCAUUCCAGAGGCAACCUUGGGAUAUUUGCCCCUUUUCCUUAAGGAUGGCUCUGUUCAGAAUUGCCUGUAGUCAUCACUCUGUGUCUCAGCAGGAGCUAACUCUCUAGCUUCUGCUCCUUAUGAUAUAGGUGAGAGAUUAGUAAUCUAUGAUAACUGCUUUCUCUUAGGGUUCCCAAGUGUUCCAUGUUCUGAGGACUAUCUCCUGCUGUACUAUCUUUUAUGAUGCAUCAUCUCUCCUAUUUGUUGGGGACCUGCCAACUGAAACCAUGCCCAAACUCACUAUAUAGAUGCUGUUGGCAAGACUUCUUCUUGGGCCAGGGGAUAUUAUCCUUAGCUCUCCUGAUUAUAAGGCUGUAUUAUUUAGCUCAUGCCGUAUUUGAUGGCUUUGUACUUAGGAAUCCUUGAAGUAUAUUUGAAAAUAAUUGUGAUCGACAUGCAAAUAUGUACAAAAAUUUCUGAAAAUGUCCAUAAUUUGUCGGCUUUUUAAAAAACAACCUUCUUAACAUAUACUUUAUACAUCAUAAAAUUUACCUGUUUUAAGCAUAUGAUCAAGUUAUUCUCAGUAUAUUCAUAGAGUUGUGCAACCAUCACCACAAUCCAGUUUUGAAACAUUUAUGAUUGGAUUCUGAAUGUAUUGCUUAUACCAAUAAUCAGUAAUCUUGUUGGGAAUCCUGGAAAAUGCCUAAAAUUUAACUACAUUGUUUUACGGAAUAUGUGGCCUCCAACAAAAUGAUACAAAUACAUUUACAUAGUAUCAAUACAAUUUUACCAUCAAUCUUUUCAUACAAUUAAAAAUGCAUUUAAUGACAUAUGGUGGGGGGAUGUAGGAAUCAUGUAAAAAACUGACCAAAUUGAAUAUUUCCAUGAAGGUUAGAAACUACAUUAGGAUCAGUAACUGCUAACUGCCACAAAAGAAAACCAAAGUUUCAUUAAUCUCAACACAGCAAAAAUUUAUUUCACCAAGUUUAAUGCAGAUUGGUGGGAAUUCUCUUCCAAGCAGUGACUUGGGGAUUAAGGCUCCCUUCUUUCUGUGGUACCGCCAUCUUCAUAUAUAGCAUCUAAGACCACAAAGGGCAAAGGGAAAGAUGGAUGAGGAACACCAGCUCUUAACCUCCUGGACCUAGAAGUGGUACACGUCCCCUUUGGUCAGAACUAGCUACAUGGCCCCAACCUAACGGCAAGUUUGAGGAAGGUAGGUUAAUGCAUCAAUCAUUCAGUGAGCAAUUUCUCAGCUAUGUUGCUGUAGGGGCAAAGAUGGAAAGCUUUCCCCUUCAUCCUAUGAAGGUCCACUGAAAAUGAACUGACAAUAGGCAAAUUAAUAUGUAAAAAAGGCAUACAGAUUUAGUUAAUGUGUGUAGCACAGGGGAAUCACAGAAUGAAUACCCCAUAACCCAAUGGGGUACAGAAGCAUAUAUACCCUUCUUCUUAGAGGAAGGGAAGAUGACGGUUGUUGGAGUAAAUGUUUUUUAGGGGGAAUGAAUGGACCCAGUGUUCAGACAAUGGUUAGUAAAUAAUUAUUUUUGGGAUUUGAAUGGGAUUUGAGAACAGACAAUAGUUUGGGACAAAGCUUGUCUGGGCUCUAUUAUAGGUGUGGUGUUUAAUUUUCAGUUUCUUUCUCUAUGACAGGAGUUUUAAUCUUCUCUGGUUAAUGAAAUUUCAGGGAACAGAUUGAAGGCAGUUGUGUUCUUUUUUGGUGGUCCAGUUUUAAAGUAGAUAAGGGGACAUCAGAGAACAGCCUCAUUCUGUGCUUUGGAAGAGAUAGAAGAUUGAGUGAAAGGGAAGCAGGGAAGGUCAGAGAAUCUUUGAGGCUGCUUUUUCAGUUUAGCAUGUCAAAGUGCCAUACUUUGGGGUAUUAUUUAUUGAGCCCCCAAAGUGGUCAAGCCUGUGAUGCUUUAUUCUUCUUUUGCUCCUUCCUCAAGCACUAAGAAUGGCUGCUAUAUCUCACAAUAUUAUCAUUUUAUAUUCUUCACUUCUAGAAAUUAGAUUCACUCUUGGUCAUUUAAAAUGUGCAGUUCUCAUGUAUGCCAGCACUUAAAGUGAAAUUUUUAAAAAAUGAAAUAAAAUGUGCAGUUUCAGCUAGACUGCAAUGUCAUCUUUCACCAACAAGUGACACAAGUCAACAUACUUGCCCUUCAGCCUGCAAAAUCCUCAUCUAAGAUUGUUUGUUCUGCACAAUAAAAUGCUUAUCAAUUCAGUGAGAUUAAUUCUUUAUAAAAUUAAUAUAUUUGUACCAACAGAUAUCAUAUGUUUAUGAAUCUUUAGAUUGUCAUCCAUCAGUUAGCUCACUAAGUAACCAAUGAUUUUGGUCAUUAUUUGAUGACCCUUAUUUAGUGUCUGUGGUAAGUGUAAUGAGGGGGUCUCUUUUUUUGUCCUCUAAUCUUCUUUUCCUAAAUCCUUGCCAUAUUCAAUAAUAUAUAACAAGAAUGUACUCAAGGUCAAGAACCUAGACGUGAAAACUGUCAAAAAGGUCAGAAGACAUGGGUUCCAAACCUGGCUCUGCCUCUAAUUAACUGUAUGAUGUUGGGCAAGCCUCAACCUCUCUGAGUCUCUGCUUCUUUGUCUGAAAAAAAUUAUAAAUUUAAUAUCUGCUAAUGAAAAUGAGUGGUUAGUGUAGCCUUCAGAAAACAACCUUGUAGCCUCUGUUGCUAGCUAACUCUCCUUUCCUGCAUUCCAGGGGUGUGUUAGUCCAUUCUCACACUGCUAUG